Molecule: non-coding RNA, 1793 nt
Organism: Camellia sinensis
Lineage: Eukaryota; Viridiplantae; Streptophyta; Magnoliopsida; Ericales; Theaceae
Source: RefSeq, a predicted model, not a curated record
UGAGUAUACUUUCCAUUUUUUACUAGAUAAAAUAUAAAAAGUAUUUUUUUUAGUUUGCCUAUUUAUUUAUUUAUAUAAUUCAACACUAAUCUUUAUUUUAUCUAUUUAUAUCCACAAACUAUUAUUUACUUUUCUAUUCAUUUGUUCGCCGUUCAUAGUUAUGUUCAAUUCUGGAUUUUCAUGUGAUUUUUCAGUUGGUAUGCGAGAAUGGUUUUAUGCGGCAACAACUGUACACUAUAUGUUAAUUUAUCUCUUACCCUAUUGUUGUUGUUGCUAUUGCUAUAUAUUUAUGGAUCGUCUUCUAUUUCUUGUUAUCUGACUUUACUGGAUGCAUUUACUUUCGAAAAGAAUCAAAGGGUUGAUAUUUGUUAUAUUUGUAGAAUGAUAAUAUAAAUUCCAGUUUUGGGAACCCUAACUUUACAGGUUCUUCCAGAAGUUGUGAACAACUAACAACUGGGACCAGUCUGUGGAGUUGUGCAUUUUGUUUAUUUUGUGAUCUUUUUCUUCUUGCUUCUAUGUGUUUCAGAUGCCUAUUAUAUCUAUUUUAUGUCUCAAAUUGGACGUCCAAACAUAUUUGCUCAAUGCUCUGCACAGACAGUCAAUGAAAUUGGUAGCAUGUUCAGUUUUCUACUUAUAUUUAACUGCUCUACAAUAUAAUAAAAGUCCAAUAAUUAUAUUGAACUGCACUGAAAUACAACAAAAGUAAAGUUUCCUCAUGGCAUUUUCAUGUUUUGGAUUUGGAUGAUUUUAACAUCUUAUAAAGAGGUGAUAAUUGUGACUCUAUUUUUCAUUUCUUUCUUCCAUUAUAGGUAUCCUACACUACAUGUUAUGGAUUUUCAGUCCAGCAGUUCAAUUUAUUUCUUGUUAUCUGACUUUACUGGAUGCAUUUACUUUUGAAAAGAAUCAAAGGGUUGAUAUUUGUUAUAUUUGUAGAAUGAUAAUAUAAAUUCCAGUUUUGGGAACCCUAACUUUACAGGUUCUUCCAGAAGUUGUGAACAACUAACAAUUGGGACCAGUCUGUGGAGUUGUGCAUUUUGUUUAUUUUGUGAUCUUUUUCUUCUUGCUUCUAUGUGUUUCAGAUGCCUAUUAUAUCUAUUUUAUGUCUCAAAUUGGACGUCCAAACAUAUUUGCUCAGUGCUCUGCACAGACAGUCAAUGAAAUUGGUAGCCUGUUCAGUUUUCUACUUAUAUUUAACUGCUCUACAAUAUAAUAAAAGUCCAAUAAUUAUAUUGAACUGCUCUGAAAUACAACGAAAGUAAAGUUUCCUCAUGGCAUUUUUAUGUUUUGGAUUUGGAUGAUUUUAACAUCUUAUAAAGAGGUGAUAAUUGUGACUCUGUUUUUCAUUUCUUUCUUCCAUUAUAGGUAUCCUACACUACAUGUUAUGGGUUUUCAGUCCAGCAGUUCAAUUUUAUCGGAUGUUGUUCGUACUUGUCUCAUUCAGAUAAUCAUGAAAGACUAUAUUACAUUUCCUAUUCUAUUGUCUAACAAGAAUUUUAAAGAGACAAGAAAUGCAACAGGGUUAGCUACUCCAGCUAUCGUCGCGAGUUUAGGUGCCUAACACAUACAUUGGACAUCUCGCAAGUGGAUUCGCUACAACUAUAGCUACAACUGCUAUAGGAACUAUUGUCGAUAGUUUUAGAUAAUCUCUUAAUAAUUGUCGAUAUGUUUACAAAGUUAGAUAUGCAUAGUUUUUGAUGGUUUAAACUUUUUGUACAGAUUAGAACUUAAGGAUAUAGUUUUCGAAUGUUUGGAAUGUAUAGCCAAUUGUUGAAUGUUUAUAAUUUAUGGAUAUA